This 71-nucleotide transfer RNA is filed under the name Candidatus Melainabacteria bacterium. Its description in RNAcentral is "tRNA-Cys". It matches the Rfam family "tRNA". Rfam says of the family: Transfer RNA (tRNA) molecules are approximately 80 nucleotides in length. Their secondary structure includes four short double-helical elements and three loops (D, anti-codon, and T loops). Lineage: Bacteria; Bacillati; Candidatus Melainabacteria. RNAcentral also lists the same sequence under 2 other names. The record is from RNAcentral.
GGCGGCAUAGCCAAGUGGUAAGGCCGGGGUCUGCAAAACCCCUACCCCCAGUUCGAAUCUGGGUGCCGCCU